RNAcentral lists this ribosomal RNA (502 nucleotides) under uncultured bacterium. RNAcentral's name for it is "partial 16S ribosomal RNA". It matches the Rfam family "Bacterial small subunit ribosomal RNA", at positions 30 to 523 of the family's 1533-position model. The record is from RNAcentral.
AUUGAACGCUGGCGGCGUGCUUUACACAUGCAAGUCGAACGGCAGCACAGACUUCGGUCUGGUGGCGAGUGGCGAACGGGUGAGUAAUACAUCGGAACGUACCUUUUAGUUGGGGAUAACGCAUCGAAAGAUGUGCUAAUACCGAAUAAUCUCUGAGGAGGAAAGGCGGGGAUCGGAAACGACCUGUCGCUGAAAGAGCGGCCGAUGGCCGAUUAGCUAGUUGGCGGGGUAAAGGCCUACCAAGGCGAUGAUCGGUAGCUGUUCUGAGAGGAAGAUCAGCCACACUGGGACUGAGACACGGCCCAGACUCCUACGGGAGGCAGCAGUGGGGAAUUUUGGACAAUGGGGGCAACCCUGAUCCAGCAACGCCGCGUGAAUGAAGAAGGCCUUAGGGUUGUAAAGUUCUUUUGUCGCAGAGCAAAAUGCUUGUACUAAUACUAUGAGUAGAUGAGAGUAUGCGAAGAAUAAGCACCGGCUAACUACGUGCCAGCCGCCGCCGUAA